Molecule: ribosomal RNA, 381 nt
Filed under: Syzygium balsameum
Lineage: Eukaryota; Viridiplantae; Streptophyta; Magnoliopsida; Myrtales; Myrtaceae
Description: eukaryotic LSU rRNA
Rfam family: Eukaryotic large subunit ribosomal RNA (bases 272-381)
Source: RNAcentral
GUCUUUGAACGCAAGUUGCGCCCGAAGCUUCGGCUGAGGGCACGUUUGCCUGGGUGUCACACAUGGCGUUGCCCCUAACCCCUCGCCUUGAAUUGGGCGGGCGGGACUUGGGUGCGUACGUUGGCCUCCCGAGAUGACCUUAUCCCGGUUGGCCCAAAAUCGAGCGUUGGAGCGAUUAGCACCACGACAUUCGGUGGUUGAUGAGACCCCAAUGAUCAAUGUCGUGCGUGUCGCUCAUGCACAUGCUCCACGAAUCUACCUUUCACCAACGCGACCCCAGGUCAAGCGGGGCUACCCGCUGAGUUUAAGCAUAUCAAUAAGCGGAGGAAAAGAAACUAACAAGGAUUCCCCUAGUAACGGCGAGCGAACCGGGAAGAGCCC